CCUACGGGUGGCAGCAGUGAGGAAUAUUGGUCAAUGGGCGCGAGCCUGAACCAGCCAAGCCGCGUGAGGGAAGACGGUACUAUGGAUUGUAAACCUCUUUUGUCGGGGAGCAAAAGACGGCACGCGUGGCGGUACGAGAGUACACGAAGAAAAAGCAUCGGCUAACUCCGUGCCAGCAGCCGCGGUAAUACGGAGGUAGCGAGCGUUAUCGGGUUUUAUGGGGUUUAAAGGGUGCGCAGGCGGAAGAUAAAGUCGGAGGUAAAAGUGAGAGGCCCAACCGCUUAGAGCUGUUGAAACUGGGUUGCUUGAGUGAGCGAGAAGUAUGCGGAAUGCGUGGUGUAGCGGUGAAAUGCAUAGAUAUCACGAAGAACUCCGAUUGCGAAGGCAGCAUACUGGAGCUCAACUGACGCUGAUGCACGAAAGUGUGGGUAUCGAACAGGAUUAGAUACCCCUGUAGUC
Molecule: ribosomal RNA, 459 nt
Filed under: uncultured bacterium
Lineage: Bacteria
Description: partial 16S ribosomal RNA
Rfam family: Bacterial small subunit ribosomal RNA
Source: RNAcentral